RNAcentral lists this long non-coding RNA (2300 nucleotides) under Anser cygnoides (Swan goose). Its description in RNAcentral is "lncRNA (ENSACDG00005001546.1)". Lineage: Eukaryota; Metazoa; Chordata; Aves; Anseriformes; Anatidae. The record is from RNAcentral.
GGAGAAGCCAGUCUUGAUACUGUAUUUGAAUGGAAUUUAAAGCUGUUAAAUGCAUAUUAUUGUAUCUUUUUUUGUUUUGCAGUCAGGUUGGUUGGUAAAGUCUAAGAGUUAGUUAAAAUUUGGAAGGGGACUUCCCAAAUGAUAUGGUAGUAUCAAAGAUGAUUCAAAGCAAAGUUGUGGCAUGUCAAUGAUCUACUUAAAUCACACAAGUAUCAGAAGUUACUGAAUAUUUCUAUUUAAAUGGAAGCUGCUGAACACCACAUCAUUUGUGGGGAAUACAAACUGUGUUUUUACAAGCAUUGUUCUAGACUGUCAGCUAAGAAACCCCUCUUACUGUUGACUCCAAAUGUCUUUGUUGCAAUAUUUAUAAACCUCCUCUCAUGUAUCUUUUAAGAAAAUGUGAAUUAGCCAAAUAAUGAAGCUAAAAUUACAAUCUGUUUGAUAGCUGCUUGAAUAGAAAAUCAAAAACUUGCUGCUUUCCAGCCGCACGCUGGAGACUGCCUUCUUUUACCAAAAGGUGCCUGUUUUAUUACUUGUAAAGAUAAAGACUAAUUAAAUACUACACAGCCUUUCAGUAAUUCAAAAGCUCCACUAAUGAGGUGUACCCUCCUGUUGCAGGUGUUACCCACAAACAGGUCUGAAGAAUGAACAGAGCCCUUUGGAAGAGCAGCAUCUUGGCAGCAUGCGGGGCAGGAGGUUUAGGAAAGCCACGAUGAAAUCCAAGCACCUAAGGAACCUAUACAAAAGGAUACCUCAUCCUUCUGGAAACCCGUCAAAAGCUAAUAAGACAAGGACCUUUCUUACUGUCUCGACACAGUCCAGUAUUUCCUGUGUGGGAAUGCAUACAGCCUGAACUAUGGAAGGAACGGAGAAAUUUGUCGAUACUCAGAAAAAAAAGGUAAGGUUUUAUGUCUUAGAAAGUCACAUUUUGCCAUCUCAUAUGCACAGGGAAAAGAGAAGAAAACAGCAAUAUAUCAGAUCUGAAUUUCUUUAUCAGUCAUCAUACCUGAGAAUUAUUUGAUAAUACUGCUCCAAGCACUCAGCAUCCUCACAUUCAUGUUAACCCUUUCUCAGCACCAUUUUUAGUAUACUAGUCCCUUCUUUUUCCUUCCUAGGAAGUUAAGCCAAAAGAGUGAUGCGACCUCUUGUUUUUCAUUAUCAAGCAACUUAUUUAAGACAUGUUUCUGGAUUUUUUUCCAACUUAUUUUUAAAAUUAGUUGAUCAGGAAAGGGGGCACCAUAUGAAAAGAGCAUUAGCAUUUUCUAAGCUAUGACAUUCUGCAUUGUAUAACUUGAAAGGUUGACAGGGCCACUGCACUGCUGAGAAGAUUUUUUUUUUUUUAAUUAAGAGCUGCACCGAGGCCAUCCUCAAACAGAUGCACUGUCCCAAAACCAAGGCAGACAGAGGAAGAGCCUUAGUUGAGGCUGAUCUCUAGACAUGAGAAAUGUCUGAAAAACAAGGAUUUGCAGUUUGAGGUCAUGGAAAUUAGGAGGCUUAUUUUGUUUUCUUCCAUCCAUCUCAUCAGCAGAAAGUCCUUACCACUAGGGAGGGAAAAACAAACCUGAACAUGACAAAGAUUUUACUUCUUUUCAACUGACUGAGGCAAAAAACAUUUCUUCCUCUUCUCUAGCAGGCUGCCUUGCUGACUCAGUGUUGUCCUAACCAUUGUUUUUCCUUGAUGUCAUUCUGUAAGUUUUUUUUUUUGAUGCACAGUUCCUCACAGGAAGCAGCUAUUUGAUUCUUCUGCAGGCUUAAGCACCACAGUUCCUAUGCCAGCUAUUUCUUACUACCUGAGGAUGUGAUUCAGCACUGUACAGAGCAUGCAUUUUCCUUGUACUUGGCUCCCAGGCUUUCUCCAUUUCUUUUAUUUUGGGGCAGGUGAGAGAACAUGCCUUAGGUUACUGGUUAAUACUUGAAGUUAUAGUGAAGUGUGUUGUGGCCUGGCCCCCCACACCAUCAACUGAAAAAAUGCGUCUUCCAUUUCUGGAUGGCUGUUCUCCAAUGAGCUUUCUCAGCAUAAUUCUUCCCAGAUUAAAGUAAUGACUUGCUACAGUGAUUAAAAGUAAGGGGAGUGGUAAAGUGUUCAGUUUUCCAAGUUGACAUCAUGUGUUUCUUUUUAUCUCUAAGCAUUAAAUCUGUGUUGUUUCUUUCUGUAUAUUGACUGACAUAUGGGUUCACAGGUGUGUAAUAUGACUUCUUUCAUGUAUUCAAAAGGCUAAGCCAAAGUCUUUUAAAGUGCAGCCAUGUCCUCAUAUUAGCAAAAAAAUAAAAAAUAAAAUCUUUAGUUCUCCUGAAUUCUA